UCCUAGCUUUUGGNGGCUGCUAGUAGUCC
This 29-nucleotide non-coding RNA is filed under the name Rattus norvegicus (Norway rat). The record is from RNAcentral. Lineage: Eukaryota; Metazoa; Chordata; Mammalia; Rodentia; Muridae.